Molecule: ribosomal RNA, 461 nt
Filed under: uncultured bacterium
Lineage: Bacteria
Description: partial 16S ribosomal RNA
Rfam family: Bacterial small subunit ribosomal RNA
Source: RNAcentral
CCUACGGGAGGCAGCAGUGAGGAAUAUUGGUCAAUGGGCGGGAGCCUGAACCAGCCAAGUCGCGUGAGGGAAGACGGUCCUAUGGAUUGUAAACCUCUUUAGGCGGGGAGCAAGGCCGGGCACGCGUGCCCGGAGGGAGAGGACCCGCAGAAGAAGCAGCGGCGAACUCCGAGCCAGCAGCCGCGGUAAUACGGAGGAUGGGAGCGUGAGCCGGAUUUAUUGGGUUUAAAGGGUGCGUAGGCGGUUUUUUUCGUCCGUUGUGAACGUUUGCGGCUCAACCGGAAAAUGGCAGUUGAAACUGGCAGUCUUGAGUACAGUAGAGGUGGGCGGAAUUCGUGGUGUAGCGGUGAACUUCUUAGAUAUCACGAAGAACUCCGAUUGCGAAGGCAGUUCACUGGACUGCAACUGCCACUGAGGCUCGAAAGUGUGGGUAUCAAACAGGAUUAGAUACCCUUGUAGUC